AGAGAAUUGCUUGAGCCCGGGAGGUGGAGGUUGCAAUGAGCAGAGAUCACACCAUUGCAGUCCAGCCUGGGCAACAGAG
This 79-nucleotide small nuclear RNA is filed under the name Homo sapiens (human). Its description in RNAcentral is "partial ncRNA". Lineage: Eukaryota; Metazoa; Chordata; Mammalia; Primates; Hominidae. The record is from RNAcentral.